This 776-nucleotide ribosomal RNA is filed under the name uncultured Neocallimastigales. Its description in RNAcentral is "partial large subunit ribosomal RNA". It matches the Rfam family "Eukaryotic large subunit ribosomal RNA", at positions 24 to 635 of the family's 3401-position model. Lineage: Eukaryota; Fungi; Neocallimastigomycota; Neocallimastigomycetes; Neocallimastigales. The record is from RNAcentral.
UAUGUGAUCGUCUCUCGCAUAUCAAUAAGCGGAGGAAAAGAAACUAACAAGGAUUCCCCUAGUAACGGCGAGUGAAGCGGGAAGAGCUCAAAUUUGAAAUCUUAAAGGGUUUCCCUUUACGAAUUGUAGUUUAAAGAAGUGUUUUCUAGUUGAGGUUUUGGUAAAAGUUCUUUGGAAUAGGACACCAUAGAGGGUGAGGAAUCCCAUAUUUGACCUUUACUUUCAACUUUGUGAUACACUUUCAAAGAGUCGGAUUGUUUGGGAAUGCAGUCCAAAGUGGGUGGUAAAUUUCAUCUAAAGCUAAAUAUUGGCGAGAGACCGAUAGCGAACAAGUACCGUGAGGGAAAGAUGAAAAGAACUUUGAAAAGAGAGUUAAACAGUACGUGAAAUUGUCAAAAGGGAAGCGUUUGACACCAGUGUUGUUUUUCUGAAAAUCAAUUAAAGAACUGUUUAUGCUAAGCUGUUUAGACUUUAUCAGCUAACUGUUUAGUUUUGAGCUUUUCUUUAAUGCACUUUUCAGUUAACAAGUCAACAUCAAUUUCUUUUGCUGUAAAAAAGCUUGAGGAAGGUGGCUUGAGAUUCGUCUUAAGUGUUUAUAGCCUCUUGCCUAUGCAGUCGGAGAGAUUGAGGUCUGCAGCGUAGAUCCUUCGGGGCUAAAUGCAUUUGUGCUAAGUUAUAGCAUUUUAUAGACAACUUGUUGACUAUGAUUUGUCUUGUAGCUUACUCGCUUAUGUUAUUUUACCUACGCUUAGGAUGUUGAACGCGCACAGAGUCUC